RNAcentral lists this ribosomal RNA (274 nucleotides) under uncultured bacterium. RNAcentral's name for it is "partial 16S ribosomal RNA". It matches the Rfam family "Bacterial small subunit ribosomal RNA", at positions 523 to 796 of the family's 1533-position model. The record is from RNAcentral.
AUACAGAGGGUGCGAGCGUUAAUCGGAAUUACUGGGCGUAAAGCGCGCGUAGGCGGCCACUUAAGUCAGAUGUGAAAUCCCCGGGCUCAACCUGGGAACUGCAUCUGAUACUGGGUAGCUAGAGUUUUGGAGAGGGAAGUAGAAUUUCAGGUGUAGCGGUGAAAUGCAUAGAGAUCUGAAGGAAUACCAGUGGCGAAGGCGACUUCCUGGCCAAAAACUGACGCUGAGGUGCAAAAGCGUGGGUAGCAAACGGGAUUAGAUACCCUAGUAGUCC